This 1053-nucleotide ribosomal RNA is filed under the name Triticum aestivum (bread wheat). RNAcentral's name for it is "partial small subunit ribosomal RNA". Lineage: Eukaryota; Viridiplantae; Streptophyta; Magnoliopsida; Poales; Poaceae. The record is from RNAcentral.
GUUCGGUACUAUAAAUACUUUACAAAAAAUCGUUGGACUCCGUUAGAAUUAAUACGUCCUCCACUAAUAAAUAUUAACUGUUGCAUCAUGAUCACACCAUUCCGCCGGUGGUGGAGGGAGUACCGCCCCCAGCUGUACGAGUGGAUGAACCAUGCACGGGUAGAACCAGGACGCAAACGGGAAAGAAGGACGAGCGAAGUUCUAGGUAAGUUCACUAGUUCACUAUCGUAUCGAAGAAAGAAGUAACUGGUCCGCUCUAAAGAGUAAAGUAUAAUAGUAGAACCUCUCAAAAAAAUCACUUUAACUUUUAACCUAUAAACCAAUUAAGAAAUUCGUUUAAAGUACGUAAUGGAGUGGCGGUCAAUAAAAAAGACCAAGGCAGCUACUGAUUAACAGCUGCGAGCUGUCCAUCAAUUAGAGGUCAGCGACCGUCUAGUGAGGACACCAUCAAUUGGAAAUAGGAGAAGAGGUAAAAGCACCUUCUAAAUAAAAAGAGCCAAGGAAAAAUUGCCACCGACGUUAAUAAUGCCAGGCGAUAUGAGCAACUGUACAACCCGAGUCCUUUUCGUUGCGGCUCCGACGAAGUCGACAUAUGAGGCAAGUAGCACCAACGACAUUAACGUCAAAACGCACCAGAGACGAGUACGAGUCGGGGCAAUUGACGAUGUUGUAGCCAACGUAGAAGUCGAGUCUUCUUCUUUCGGAUCUAACUCAAACACAAACAGUAUAAAGUUCUUCUUUCAUUAGUACAAAGUGAGCUACAUUUACAUGUUCAUGAACAAUUUCAUGACUACGUAGAAAGGAAGGUAAUAAUUCGUAAUCGUGGCAUUUUAUAGUGGGAGACAGUGCUGCCGGUGUGCUGCUGCGGACAUCGCUGGAGUGUGGUGGUGGUAGUUGUCGCGCUUCCCUACGGUACCAGGUAACUCCCGGGCGUACUGUCACAGACUAAAUCACCCGGACAGCCCGAGCCCGUUGGUGGUUGCUGAGUACGUACGUGUUGUGGCAACGUUCCUACAUAAACCAUGUAAUUUUUUUCCUACACACAAAAAAAAA